This 494-nucleotide ribosomal RNA is filed under the name uncultured bacterium. RNAcentral describes it as "partial 16S ribosomal RNA". It matches the Rfam family "Bacterial small subunit ribosomal RNA", at positions 28 to 507 of the family's 1533-position model. The record is from RNAcentral.
GACGAACGCUGGCGGCGUGCUUAACACAUGCAAGUCGAACGGAAAGGCCUGCUUUCCCUUGUGGAUUGCGGGUACUCGAGUGGCGAACGGGUGAGUAACACGUGAGUGAUCUGCCCCCAACUUGGGUAUAAGCCUGGGAAACUGGGUCUAAUUCCCGAUAGGACUGCAGGGUGGUGCCUGUGGUGGAAAACGAUUUUCUAGUGGUUGGGGAUGAGCUCGCGGCCUAUCAGCUUGUUGGUGGGGUAAUGGCCUACCAAGGCGGCGACGGGUAGCCGGCCUGAGAGGGUGGACGGCGACAUUGAGACUGAGAUGCGGCCCAGACUCCUACGGAAGGCAGCAGUGGGGAAGAGAGGAAGAUGGGCGGAAUCCUGGUGCAGCGAGGCAGCGUGGGGGAUGACGGCCUUCGGGUUGUAAGCUCCUUUCGACCGCGAGGAAGCCACCUGGUUGGGAGGGUGGUGACGGUAGUGGUAGAAGAAGCACCGGCUAACUACGUG